GGGUUGUGAGGUUAAGCGACUAAGCGUACACGGUGGAUGCCCGCAGUCAGAGGCGAUGAAGGACGUGCUAAUCUGCGAUAAGCGUCGGUGAGGUGAUAUGAACCGUUAUAACCGGCGAUUUCCGAAUGGGGAAACCCAGUGUGAUUCGUCACACUAUCAUUAACUGAAUCCAUAGGUUAAUGAGGCGAACCGGGGGAACUGAAACAUCUAAGUACCCGAGGAAAAGAAAUCAACCGAGAUUCCCAGUAGCGGCGAGCGAACGGGGAGGAGCCCAGAGCCCGAAUCCAGUGUGUGUGUGUUAGUGGAAGCGUCUGGAAAGGCGUGCGAUACAGGGUGACAGCCCCGUACACAAAAAUGCACAUAUUGUGAGCUCGAUGAGUAGGGCGGGACACGUGGUAUCCUGUCUGAAUAUGGGGGGACCAUCCUCCAAGGCUAAAUACUCCUGACUGACCGAUAGUGAACCAGUACCGUGAGGGAAAGGCGAAAAGAACCCCGGCGAGGGGAGUGAAAAAGAACCUGAAACCGUGUACGUACAAGCAGUGGGAGCCUCUUAAUGGGGUGACUGCGUACCUUUGUAUAAUGGGUCAGCGACUUAUAUUCUGUAGCAAGGUUAACCGAAUAGGGGAGCCGAAGGGAAACCGAGUCUUAACUGGGCGUUAAGUUGCAGGGUAUAGACCCGAAACCCGGGUGAUUCAGCCAUGGGCAGGUUGAAGGUUGGGUAACACUAACUGGAGGACCGAACCGACUAAUGUUGAAAAAUUAGCGGAUGACUUGUGGCUGGGGGUGAAAGGCCAAUCAAACCGGGAGAUAGCUGGUUCUCCCCGAAAGCUAUUUAGGUAGCGCCUCGUGAAUUCAUCUCCGGAGGUAGAGCACUGUUUCGGCAAGGGGGUCAUCCCGACUUACCAACCCGAUGCAAACUGCGAAUACCGGAGAAUGUUAUCACGGGAGACACACGGCGGGUGCUAACGUCCGUCGUGAAGAGGGAAACAACCCAGACCGCCAGCUAAGGUCCCAAAGUCAUGGUUAAGUGGGAAAACGAUGUGGGAAGGCCCAGACAGCCGGAUGUUGGCUUAGAAGCAGCCAUCAUUUAAAGAAAGCGUAAUAGCUCACUGGUCGAGUCGGCCUGCGCGGAAGAUGUAACGGGGCUAAACCAUGCACCGAAGCUGCGGCAGCGACACUAUGUGUUGUUGGGUAGGGGAGCGUUCUGUAAGCCUGUGAAGGUGGCCUGUGAGGGUUGCUGGAGGUAUCAGAAGUGCGAAUGCUGACAUAAGUAACGAUAAAGCGGGUGAAAAGCCCGCUCGCCGGAAGACCAAGGGUUCCUGUCCAACGUUAAUCGGGGCAGGGUGAGUCGACCCCAAGGCGAGGCCGAAAGGCGUAGUCGAUGGGAAACAGGUUAAUAUUCCUGUACUUGGUGUUACUGCGAAGGGGGGACGGAGAAGGCUAUGUUGGCCGGGCGACGGUUGUCCCGGUUUAAGCGUGUAGGCUGGUUUUCCAGGCAAAUCCGGAAAAUCAAGGCUGAGGCGUGAUGACGAGGCACUACGGUGCUGAAGCGACAAAUGCCCUGCUUCCGGUGAAAAGCCUCUAAGCAUCAGGUAACAUCAAAUCGUACCCCAAACCGACACAGGUGGUCAGGUAGAGAAUACCAAGGCGCUUGAGAGAACUCGGGUGAAGGAACUAGGCAAAAUGGUGCCGUAACUUCGGGAGAAGGCACGCUGAUAUGUAGGUGAAGCGACUUGCUCGUGGAGCUGAAAUCAGUCGAAGAUACCAGCUGGCUGCAACUGUUUAUUAAAAACACAGCACUGUGCAAACACGAAAGUGGACGUAUACGGUGUGACGCCUGCCCGGUGCCGGAAGGUUAAUUGAUGGGGUUAGCGGUAACGCGAAGCUCUUGAUCGAAGCCCCGGUAAACGGCGGCCGUAACUAUAACGGUCCUAAGGUAGCGAAAUUCCUUGUCGGGUAAGUUCCGACCUGCACGAAUGGCGUAAUGAUGGCUGUGCUGUCUCCACCCGAGACUCAGUGAAAUUGAACUCGCUGUGAAGAUGCAGUGUACCCGCGGCAAGACGGAAAGACCCCGUGAACCUUUACUAUAGCUUGACACUGAACAUUGAGCCUUGAUGUGGGAUAGGUGGGAGGCUUUGAAGUGUGGGACGCCAGUCUGCAUGGAGCCGACCUUGAAAUACCACCCUUUAAUGUUUGAUGUUCUAACGUGGGCCCCUUUACCGGGGUUGCGGACAGUGUCUGGUGGGUAGUUUGAUGGGGCGGUCUCCUCCCAAAGAGUAACGGAGGAGCACGAAGGUUGGCUAAUCCUGGUCGGACAUCAGGAGGUUAGUGCAAUGGCAUAAGCCAGCUUGACUGCGAGCGUGACGGCGCGAGCAGGUGCGAAAGCAGGUCAUAGUGAUCCGGUGGUUCUGAAUGGAAGGGCCAUCGCUCAACGGAUAAAAGGUACUCCGGGGAUAACAGGCUGAUACCGCCCAAGAGUUCAUAUCGACGGCGGUGUUUGGCACCUCGAUGUCGGCUCAUCACAUCCUCGGGCUGAAGUAGGGUCCCAAGGGUAUGGCUGUUCGCCAUUUAAAGUGGUACGCGAGCUGGGUUUAGAACGUCGUGAGACAGUUCGGUCCCCAUCUGCCGUGGGCGCUGGAGAACUGAGGGGGGCUGCUCCUAGUACGAGAGGACCGGAGUGGACGCAUCACUGGUGUUCGGGUUGUCAUGCCAAUGGCACUGCCCGGUAGCUAAAUGCGGAAGAGAUAAGUGCUGAAAGCAUCUAAGCACGAAACUUGCCCCGAGAUGAGUUCUCCUGACUCCUUGAGAGUCCUGGAAGGAACGUUGAAGACGACGACGUUGAUAGGCCGGGUGUGUAAGCGCAGCGAUGCGUUGAGCUAACCGGUACUAAUGAACCGUGAGGCUUAACCUUACAACGCCGAAG
Molecule: ribosomal RNA, 2923 nt
Filed under: Escherichia coli
Lineage: Bacteria; Pseudomonadati; Pseudomonadota; Gammaproteobacteria; Enterobacterales; Enterobacteriaceae
Description: 23S ribosomal RNA
Rfam family: Bacterial large subunit ribosomal RNA
Source: RNAcentral